GAUGAACGCUGGCGGCGUGCCUAAUACAUGCAAGUCGAGCGAACGGACGAGAAGCUUGCUUCUCUGAUGUUAGCGGCGGACGGGUGAGUAACACGUGGAUAACCUACCUAUAAGACUGGGAUAACUUCGGGAAACCGGAGCUAAUACCGGAUGAUAUUUUGAACCGCAUGGUUCAAAAGUGAAAGACGGUCUUGCUGUCACUUAUAGAUGGAUCCGCGCUGCAUUAGCUAGUUGGUAAGGUAACGGCUUACCAAGGCAACGAUGCAUAGCCGACCUGAGAGGUGGAGCCGCCACCCGGGAACAGCACCCGGCCCAGGCCCCCGAGGGGGGCAGGAGGGGGGGAAUCUCCCGAAAGGGGCGAAAGCCGGAGGGACAAAGCCCGGGGGAGGGAUAGAGUUUUUCGGUUGUAAAAACUUUUUUUUGGGGAAAAAAAAUAGGUGUAAGAACAGUUGCACACCUGGAGGGCACUUAACAGAAAAGCCCCGGCAAACUACGCC
Molecule: ribosomal RNA, 497 nt
Filed under: uncultured bacterium
Lineage: Bacteria
Description: partial 16S ribosomal RNA
Rfam family: Bacterial small subunit ribosomal RNA
Source: RNAcentral